UACGUAGGUGACCAGCGUUGUCCGGAUUUACUGGGCGUAAAGAGCGCGCAGGCGGUCGUUCAAGUCGAGUGUGAAAGCCCCCGGCUCAACUGGGGAGGGUCAUUCGAUACUGAUCGACUCGAAGGCAGGAGAGGGAAGCGGAAUUCCCGGUGUAGUGGUGAAAUGCGUAGAUAUCGGGAGGAACACCAGUGGCGAAGGCGGCUUCCUGGCCUGUUCUUGACGCUGAGGCGCGAAAGCUAGGGGAGCAAAACGGG
Molecule: ribosomal RNA, 254 nt
Filed under: uncultured bacterium
Lineage: Bacteria
Description: partial 16S ribosomal RNA
Rfam family: Bacterial small subunit ribosomal RNA
Source: RNAcentral